Molecule: long non-coding RNA, 1448 nt
Filed under: Lepisosteus oculatus (spotted gar)
Lineage: Eukaryota; Metazoa; Chordata; Actinopteri; Semionotiformes; Lepisosteidae
Description: lncRNA (ENSLOCG00000022918.1)
Source: RNAcentral
AAUACAGAACGAGAUGGACGACAUUAAAACCUCACAGCAAGCAGAGCCCUGUGCUCUCGUAGGCUCACAUCUGAAACAGCCUGCUCCUGACAGACACCACACAGAAACCCCAGACAGCCGUCCUCGAGAGAGAACCUGGGACGAAGCAGCACUGGCAGGAACAGACAUGUUUAUAUCUGGACUCGUCCAAGACGCCACUGAGGUGACUGGAAAACCUGGGACUGAUGGAGCAGAACAGGUCCUCCUGGGAGAGGGGUGAGUGGGGCCAGCAGGGGGCGCUCUCUCCCUGCGCUCUGUGUGGUCCUGAUGCCCCAGUCCAGUGAUGGUGAGCUAUAAAAGAGUAGGGCUGGACAGAAAGGCGCUAUAUAAGUAUAAGACUAUUAUUAGUAACCCCUAAUGACCUCUGACCUGUCCUCCUCGCCCUGAGAGCUGCUGUGUGUGAGCGCACUGGUGGGGCUCCACACUGCUGCUGCUGCAGGGGGGGUCCAGAAAGGCGCUAUAUAAGGGUGAGCAUUAAGAUCACGGAUUCCAGAGCCUUUCGGAAACAAACCCACAGGACUGGGAGCAGAAUAGGCGCUCCGUGACGAUGAUCCGGCGGGGUGAACAGGCGAAGGUUGACUCCGCGCCCGGCAGGAGAGACACCGCUGCGGGCCACCGCCGGGCCUGGGAGCUUGUGGGCGGGCAGGGGGCGCUGGGAGUGCCGGAGCCCCGCCCCGCGCUCCGAGUGGUCAGGGGCGGCCGAGUGACAGCUGCCUCGGCCAGUCAGAGCCCAGGGAGGACGCCGGGGACCGGCUGCACUCCGUCGCCGCGAGGGGGGGGCUCAACGACAGAGCGGAGAUCACCCCCCCGCCCUCAGAGUCCCCGGGGGUCUCUGGAGCCGGCGCCGGCAGCGGCCCGCUUCGGAAAGACCGCCGACCGCAGGGCAGGGCUGAGAGAUGGCGAGAGAGCGCUGGGCCCCUCCUCUCAGGGGGCGAAGGAAGAAGCUGGGUGCAGGCUGGAGGUCAGAGGUCGGAGGUCGGAGCCCAGCUCAGGGGGUGUCCAGGCACGCUGUCGUCCUCACACACUCUCUCCGGGGUGCCAGGCCAGGUCCGGCCCGGUCCGGUCGGGCUGCGGGGCUGAUCAGUGGCCCAGCAUGCACAGCACGUUCACCUGGACAGGAGAGGGGGGGGGUGGUCAGACCGCGUCUCAGCCAGAGCGGGGCGCCUGCCCUCGGGUACGGGGCGAUGGCGGCGGCUCACCUUGAUGAACGAAGACAGACGCUUCGCCGAUAUCCCCUCCAGCUGCUGCAGGUCCUCGAUCUGAACGAGACAGAGACAACACCCUGUCACAACCUGAGGAACAGUGAGCCCGUCUCUCAAUAAUAAUAAUACAGUGUGUGAUCUCCUGUCCCAGCCUGAGGAACAGACAGUGAGCCUGUCUCUCAAUAAUAAUAAUACAGUGUGUGAUCU